RNAcentral lists this non-coding RNA (224 nucleotides) under Pararhizobium polonicum. Lineage: Bacteria; Pseudomonadati; Pseudomonadota; Alphaproteobacteria; Hyphomicrobiales; Rhizobiaceae. The record is from RNAcentral.
ACUAUAUCUAGUGUUCAAGGUUCCCCUGACUCGCAAGGGUCGGGGGCUAAGACGGGAAUACGGUGCGCAAGGCCAUUCUGGCCAAGCAAUGCCGGAGCUGCCCCCGCAACUGUAAGCGGCGAGCGUCUGUCCCAUUUCAAGUCACUGAAGCAUGAUGCUUCGGGAAGACGGGACAGAAGCAACGACCCGCAAGCCAGGAGACCUGCCUUGAGCGAAAACGUCCA